UAAGAAGAUGCAUAUUGGGCCUGGCUUUUCGUCCUUGGAGCUUCCAUUUCUUCAAGAUGCCUUUUCAUGGAUUCCAGCACUUUUGCUGCUGCAAUGAAUACUGAACUAGAUCAGAUUCGUAGCUCUUACAAAGUACUCCCUCCGUUUCUUUUUAGUCCGCAUAUAAGGUUUGGUCAAAGUCAAGUUUUGUAGAGUUUGACUAACUUUAUAUUAAAAAAUAUAAACAUUCACAAUAUGAAAUCAAUACUAUCAGAUGCACCAUGAAACGUAUGUUCAUACUAUAUAGUUUCAGUAUUGUAGAUGUUCAUAUUUUUUUAUAUAAAUUUGGUCAAACUUUGUGAUCUUAUAUGCGGAGUAAAAAGAAACGGAGGGAGUACAGUAGUAUAGUACUACUAGUCUAUUAGAUGGAUGAUUUGAGUAUGUGCCUGCAACCGCCUGCGUCAUUUGAUUUUAUCAGCCACCUCUGUGGUUUUCUGUUUAUGUGCCACUUGGCCACUAGGAGUAUUCUACUAGCCCUAUCCAUUAAGUCAUAUCAGUUUCGUUCCCAGUAACUUAACACAAGUUUUACAUACUAGCGCGCAAAGGCUGCCGCGCCCAUCAAAGCCUGUUUGUGUGCGUCUGUUUUGCUUUUGUAAUGAGGGAAACGAGAACAAUGCGCUUUGAAAGCGAGCUGAUGGCGUGAAAGUAUCUGUAUAUUUAGCACGUUCAUGCAGGUCCUUGUACUUUCUUAUUUGUAGAAGCUAUAGGGAGGUCAUAGCAACAUGCAAGGAAGUUUCUUUCCACGUGAAAGAGAGUGGAGGAGUUGUGACAACAUCGCUUACUAUGCCAAGGAUCCGGACAAACUACCACCAACACCAACGGGGAGGAGUUGGGACAGAAAGAUGGUUGGUUGUGCCAUUGAAAGUCUGGUAGUGUGCGAAGUGAAAUAGUGUUAGAGGUGUGUGUGUUUUAGAUCUUGGCCACUGGUAUAUCUAUAUUUAUAGAUAGAUUUGUCAUUUCCGGUCAAUCACCAGUUUGAUAAUUGUUCUUGGCCACUGAUAUCUGUUUAUGCACAUAACAAGACCAUGUACAUUCGUACAUGCAAGGGAAGAGUUUCGUUAGCAAGAGAUCUUGGAGAAACUUUACU
This 1126-nucleotide long non-coding RNA is filed under the name Triticum aestivum (bread wheat). RNAcentral's name for it is "long non-coding RNA (TAES_LNC021282)". Lineage: Eukaryota; Viridiplantae; Streptophyta; Magnoliopsida; Poales; Poaceae. The record is from RNAcentral.